This 690-nucleotide unclassified non-coding RNA is filed under the name Hevea brasiliensis (rubber tree). The record is from RNAcentral. Lineage: Eukaryota; Viridiplantae; Streptophyta; Magnoliopsida; Malpighiales; Euphorbiaceae.
AUGCUUAAGCUCAUAGUCCCACAUAAUCACAGGUUUACAGAUUUAACGGCCCAGAAAAUUUUGUUCAACAAUACAAACCAGGCUAUAGGCUCAACUCCUCAUAAGCCCAUAUGAUACAAGCUUAAAGGCCCAUUACUCCAACAGCCUUAGCGAAUAGAAGAGAAAGGAAAGCAAGGAACGCAGUCAAUAGAAUAGAAAGGAAAGCAAGGUGGAAGGCAGUCGAAUAAACUAGCGCUAGCCUCCACCAUUGCAUAGAAGAGGACCAUUCGGAUCUCAAAUAGAAAAGUAGACCAAUCAGCUCCUCUCGGAGUCUCGAACAAAGAGGAAGAAUCAAAAAGCGCUACCCCAAGAAGUCCUUACCAGAAAAAUAGAGCACUGCCUUCAGUAAAUCUAAGCGACAAAACUAGCGAUCUACGCGAAAGUCUAUGGGCAAAGCUUAAACAAUAUCCGCAUCUAGAAUCAUGCAAUCUUCAGGUGAGUCAGCGAUAGGACCCCUGAAAUGCCCAUCCUCACGGCAUUGAUACACCCACAUUGCAAGAGGUUUUGAACCAAAAAGACAGAAACCAAGUCAUCAAAGCGAAGCACAACUCUUGCCGAACACAACCACAUUGCAAGUUAAAAAUAACAAGCUCCUUCACCAUUCUACCUUUUACCUGCAAAAAUAAAAGAAAACUCAACUCAACUCAAUUA